This 519-nucleotide long non-coding RNA is filed under the name Mytilus galloprovincialis (Mediterranean mussel). Lineage: Eukaryota; Metazoa; Mollusca; Bivalvia; Mytilida; Mytilidae. The record is from RNAcentral.
CAUCGAAGUUCGUAUAAUAUUGUAUUAAAAUGGAAUUCUAAGGUAGGUUUUGUUUUGUUUUCUAAUCUAUUGCAUUUGAUUUCAGCGAGUCAACAUGGCAGCUCCUUCGUUACGAAAUGUCAAUUUUGGAUUUGACGGUAGCUUACGAGAAAAUAUGUAAAUUAAAAAUCGUAAAUAUUGGGUUUGAGAAAUAAACAUAUUUUUUCCAGCGGUUAUUAACGAAAUAAUCAAUGCAAGCUAAUGAUUUAUUAAAAUAUUUGAGCUUUAUCUAACAAGGAGUAAAAAAGAACAGCUUCACACACGGCAUACUCACUCUCGCUUCAGUAUUUGAAUGAACUUAUUUGUCCUAUUAGAAUCGAAAUAAUUCAUGGAAGCCAUAUAUUUGUUGUAAAUUUACACAUGGCCUGGGCCGUGAUAUUCGUUAAUUUUAUCCCUCGCUAACGCUCAGGAUAAAAUUCGAAUAUCACGGCCCAGGCCAUGUGUAAAUUUCCAACAAAUAUAUGGCUUCCACGAAUUAUU